AUAAUUGCAUCGGGCAGCCUGUUGCAGCUGCCCCCGGCAAGCAGCGAUGAAGUUUGGGUCUUGCGCAAUGGAAAUCUGUGAACCGUGUCAGGUUGGGAACAAAGCAGCACUAAACAGAACCUUUCAUGUGACGUGAGGAAGCCUGGCGGAGCCGGCUGCCGGGGUAACGUGCAGCAGGCUGUCCGGUGCAAU
Molecule: signal recognition particle RNA, 192 nt
Filed under: bacterium 1XD8-76
Lineage: Bacteria
Also listed under: 1 other name
Description: signal recognition particle sRNA large type
Rfam family: Bacterial large signal recognition particle RNA
About the family: The signal recognition particle (SRP) is a universally conserved ribonucleoprotein involved in the co-translational targeting of proteins to membranes. Archaeal SRP consists of a 7S RNA and homologues of the eukaryotic SRP19 and SRP54 proteins.
Source: RNAcentral